RNAcentral lists this ribosomal RNA (403 nucleotides) under Camaenidae sp. BL6. RNAcentral's name for it is "partial 16S ribosomal RNA". It matches the Rfam family "Bacterial large subunit ribosomal RNA", at positions 1808 to 2587 of the family's 2925-position model. The record is from RNAcentral. Lineage: Eukaryota; Metazoa; Mollusca; Gastropoda; Stylommatophora; Camaenidae.
CAAAAACAUAGCUUGAGGUAUAUAUAUUAAGUGUUUUCUGCUCAAUGAAUUAUUAAAUAGCCCCAGUACCCUGACUGUGCAAAGGUAGCAUAAUCAAUUGACUUCUAAUUAAAGUCUGGAAUGAAAGAAUAAAUGAGGGGUUAACUAUAUAGUUGACUAAAUAUGAAGUUGCUUAUUGGGUGAAAAUUCCCGAAUUGAAAUAUUAGACGAGAAGACCCUAGAAAUUUCAUGAAAAUUUUGUUGGGGCAACAUUGUAGCAGUUAAUCUACACAAUAACUCGUGAAGUAUGACAGUUUGACUAAAUUACUCUAGGGAUAACAGCAUAAUACGAUAGUGUUUGUGACCUCGAUGUUGGAUUAGGAAUUUGUAGUUUAGAAAAUAAGCAGGGCGCUCUGUUCGAGCA